UAUUUUACCUUGUUGCUUCGGCGGGCCCGCCUUUACUGGCCGCCGGGGGGCUCACGCCCCCGGGCCCGCGCCCGCCGAAGACACCCCCGAACUCUGUCUGAAGAUUGAAGUCUGAGUGAAAAUAUAAAUUAUUUAAAACUUUCAACAACGGAUCUCUUGGUUCCGGCAUCGAUGAAGAACGCAGCGAAAUGCGAUACGUAAUGUGAAUUGCAAAUUCAGUGAAUCAUCGAGUCUUUGAACGCACAUUGCGCCCCCUGGUAUUCCGGGGGGCAUGCCUGUCCGAGCGUCAUUGCUGCCCUCAAGCCCGGCUUGUGUGUUGGGCCCCGUCCUCCGAUUCCGGGGGACGGGCCCGAAAGGCAGCGGCGGCACCGCGUCCGGUCCUCGAGCGUAUGGGGCUUUGUCACCCGCUCUGUAGGCCCGGCCGGCGCUUGCCGAUCAACCCAAAUUUUUAUCCAGGUUGACCUCGGAUCAGGUAGGGAUACCCGCUGAACUUAAGCAUAUCAAUAAGCG
RNAcentral lists this unclassified non-coding RNA (510 nucleotides) under Penicillium polonicum. Its description in RNAcentral is "sequence contains ITS1 and 5.8S rRNA gene". The stretch from base 137 to 289 matches the Rfam family "5.8S ribosomal RNA". Lineage: Eukaryota; Fungi; Ascomycota; Eurotiomycetes; Eurotiales; Aspergillaceae. The record is from RNAcentral.